ACACAUAGUAGCGCCUAGGACAGAGAGCCAUACAAGUAGCCCUUGAAGGACAUGGGGUGGUCAGCCAAAGGUGUGUAAGUGAUCGAUGAAUGGUUUCAGCAUUCAAAGCAAGUGUUACCAAAGUUGUGUUACCUUGAGAACAUUACAGCAUCGGUAGCGGAAACCUGUGCCAGAGUGCUAGCUCAUUCUCCACUUUGGACCCUUUUCCUACUCCUGGGAACGAGGAUGUGAAGGGAUUGUGUGAGCGCGUGUGUGUGUACAUGUGUGCAAGUAUGGAUGGAUGCGUGUGCAAGUAUUUGGGGGGGAGGGUGGGUGUUUGAACAUUCCAUCAUUAUUCCAUGUUUUAUGUACAGAACAUAUAAUGUCUUGCACUCUCUGAAGUUGAUAUUGAAAUAUUCUCAUUGGUUCUCUUACAAAACAAAAUACCGACUGCUUGUUUCAGGUUGAGAAUGGAAACUUGUAUCAAAAGUGUGUGUGUGUGUGUGUGUGUGUGUGCAGCAUUAUGUGUGCCACGGUACUUUGGAUGCUUUAGUCUACAAAUAAAAACUUUAAAUUUAUUCUGUCAUGAAAUAUAGAAGAAAUAAAGUUCAAAUGUGUAUAUUGACCGUGCACAAACUCUCAAAAUGUUAUAAUAAAGCUUGUUUCCUCUCGGUUUCAGGGUGAUGGGUCAUUUUUCUUUGUACCUUAAAGCUGUGUAUUUUGACUUUGUUUCUACCUGGCACAGUGCACUAGACACAACUGGGGGCUUCAUAAAUGCUUGUUGUUGCAACAUAGUUCAUUUUAACUUAUAGUCUUGUUUCAUUGAAUAAAAGAAAGACCUUAAAAUAGCUAGCAUGGAUAUAGCACUUUAGAAACAUUUGGUUUGAUCCAACAACCCUGAGAAAAAGGUGCUAUUGUUAUCCCCAUUUCGCAAAUGAGGAAAUUAGAAAGACAAAAUUCAAGCUAUUUGUGUAGAGUCACAUAGCUCAUUGAGACAGGAUUUGAACUCAAGUCUUCUUAACUGCAAGUCAAAUGAUCUAGCAGGGGUCCUCAAACUUUUUAAAUAGGGGGCCAGUUCACUGUCCCUCAGACUGUUGGAGGACCGGACUAUAGUAAAAACAAAAACUUUGUUUUGUGGGCCUUUAAUAAAGAAACUUCACAGCCCUGGGUGAGGGGGGAUAAACGUCCUCAGCUGCCGCAUCUGGCCCACGGGCCAUAGUUUGAGGACCCCUGAUAGAGUUUGUGGUGGGCAGUACUCUAUAAUAGAGAUUUCGGUGAGAAUUCCUAGUAGGUUUAAAGGCACUAAGCUAUUUAGCAUUUAGAAUACAUCUAUGAGAGGGAAUCAACAGAAUCAGAAGCUUCAGGUAGCUGGGGAACACAAAUCAUUGACUGGGGCUUAUACUGGCAGAACUUAGAAAAUCGAGAGCCUGACUACUACCCAAUUCAAGCAAUAGUUUUAGUGGCCCAAGAAUGUACAUAUAGUUGGAGAUGAAGCACAACAACAUUUAGAACACAGGGCUCCAGCAGCAUUUGUACCAAGUAUAUACAUAUAUUUAAUUUUAAAUUUUAUUUUUCCUCAAUUGCAUGUGAAAACAAUUUUUAAUAUUUGGUUUUUAAAAUUUUUGAGUUUUAAAUUCUGUCCAGAGAGCAAGCUAUUUGAUAUAGGUUAUACAUGUUCAGGCAUGCAAAAUAUAUUUCCAUGUUAGCCAUGUUGUAAUAAAUGAAAA
Long non-coding RNA from Sarcophilus harrisii (Tasmanian devil), 1706 nucleotides. The record is from Ensembl. Lineage: Eukaryota; Metazoa; Chordata; Mammalia; Dasyuromorphia; Dasyuridae.